Molecule: ribosomal RNA, 224 nt
Filed under: uncultured anaerobic ammonium-oxidizing bacterium
Lineage: Bacteria
Description: partial 16S ribosomal RNA
Rfam family: Bacterial small subunit ribosomal RNA
Source: RNAcentral
UAGGUACGCUAAUAUCGUAUCUAUUUGACAAAGGCUCCAAAGGAAGCCACGGCUAACUCUGUGCCAGCAGCCGCGGUAAUACAGAGGUGGCAAGCGUUGUUCGGAAUUAUUGGGCGUAAAGAGCACGUAGGUGGAUUUGUAAGUCAGAUGUGAAAGCCUUCUGUUCAACGGGAGAAUUGCAUCUGAAACUACAGACCUUGAGUGUAGGAGGGGAGAGUGGAACU